This 120-nucleotide ribosomal RNA is filed under the name Helianthus annuus (common sunflower). Lineage: Eukaryota; Viridiplantae; Streptophyta; Magnoliopsida; Asterales; Asteraceae. The record is from RNAcentral. RNAcentral also lists the same sequence under 1 other name.
GGUUGCGAUCAUACCAGCACUAAUGCAGCGGAUCCCAUCAGAACUCCGCAGUUAAGCGUGCUUGGGCGAGAGUAGUACUAGGAUGGGUGACCCCCUGGGAAGUCCUCGUGUUGCAACCCC